GGUGGCUUGGUGCAGUGGUCAAGCACCUGGCAUUAGGGUAUAGUGUACCUGAACACCUACCCUACGUUGGUUCGAAUCCAGCAGCCAUCA
Molecule: transfer RNA, 90 nt
Filed under: Periconia macrospinosa
Lineage: Eukaryota; Fungi; Ascomycota; Dothideomycetes; Pleosporales; Periconiaceae
Description: tRNA-Pro
Rfam family: tRNA
About the family: Transfer RNA (tRNA) molecules are approximately 80 nucleotides in length. Their secondary structure includes four short double-helical elements and three loops (D, anti-codon, and T loops). Further hydrogen bonds mediate the characteristic L-shaped molecular structure. tRNAs have two regions of fundamental functional importance: the anti-codon, which is responsible for specific mRNA codon recognition, and the 3' end, to which the tRNAs corresponding amino acid is attached (by aminoacyl-tRNA synthetases). tRNAs cope with the degeneracy of the genetic code in two manners: having more than one tRNA (with a specific anti-codon) for a particular amino acid; and 'wobble' base-pairing, i.e. permitting non-standard base-pairing at the 3rd anti-codon position.
Source: RNAcentral